UACGUAUUCCCUCCGUCCAGAAAUACUUGUUGGAGAAAUGCAUAAAAAUAAAUGUAUCUAAAACUAGAAUACAUUUAGAUACAUCCAUUCCUCUGACGAGUAUUUUCGGACGGAGGGAGUACAUA
This is a non-coding RNA of Triticum aestivum (bread wheat), 125 nucleotides long. The record is from Rfam. Lineage: Eukaryota; Viridiplantae; Streptophyta; Magnoliopsida; Poales; Poaceae.